GAUAAAGGAAGGAAUUUAGCCCCCUUAUGUAGGACUACAGCCUACCGCCUAACAAUCGGCCACUUUACC
Molecule: transfer RNA, 69 nt
Filed under: Anolis sp. 1 MDC-2011
Lineage: Eukaryota; Metazoa; Chordata; Lepidosauria; Squamata; Anolidae
Description: tRNA-Tyr
Source: RNAcentral